This is a long non-coding RNA of Cornus florida, 849 nucleotides long. RefSeq lists it as uncharacterized. The transcript has 4 exons. Lineage: Eukaryota; Viridiplantae; Streptophyta; Magnoliopsida; Cornales; Cornaceae. The record is from RefSeq and is a predicted model, not a curated record.
UGGAGAAGACUGUCUCAAUCUAAAAUCCUCUCUAUUUCAGAAUGAUUAGAUCUGAAUUUCUCUCGCCUUGACACCCAGCCAUUAGCCAUAUAACCCAAUAAUUUUAGAUUUUAUAGCACAGAUAAAUAAGUAUAGCAGAUCCAAAUAUUUGAUUUAGGGUUCUCAGGUUCAACAUUAUUUUUCUCUCAGAUGCGAUUUAGAUUGUAUAGCACAAGAAUACGAGAGUUUUCAUCUUCAACAACAUAUAGCUGAAUCCACGGUCAGUUCCAGCAAUAAUCAUCUACUCAUUCGCAUAGUCACUCAACAACCAAAGCCCAAUUUACCAGCCAUGGCCGAUGCUCAGCUCAAGUCUGACGACCUCAUGGACCAAAUGAAACUCCUGAGCAAAGGUAUAUAUGAAAGUGAAAAACCUGAUGCCACCUUUUCUUUCAAGGAUGAAGAUUUGUUAAGGUCUCCAUUGGCAAGUUGAACCCCCAGAUUGCUUUCAUGAGGGGUGCGAUGAAGAUUAAGGGCAGUCUCAGCGUGCCUUGGAAAUUUACUCAUGACAGUUUUCCCAAGCCUUCAAAAAUGUUGUUAGUGCCAUUGAUGCAGAUACCAUGAUCCUGGAUUUUGACUUUAUUAAUAUUGAAGAUGAAGCACACGGUGCAAACCAUUGCAUACGUUGAUAGAGAAUUGAUAUAAAGUUUUCUGAAACUUGAAUUAUUAUUUUUAUUAUAACCAUUGUAUUAGAUUGAUAGAAUUGAAGAAGUUUGAUUCUUUUAAUUUAAAUUACUCCAAGUGUCAAUGAAGGCAUCAUGGAUAUAUUGUAAUUAAUUGUUUAUCAAUUUAUGAAAUGUCUUUGAAGAAAUA